This 207-nucleotide ribosomal RNA is filed under the name uncultured bacterium. Its description in RNAcentral is "partial 16S ribosomal RNA". It matches the Rfam family "Bacterial small subunit ribosomal RNA", at positions 568 to 774 of the family's 1533-position model. The record is from RNAcentral.
CUCGUAGGCGGCCAACUAAGUCCGACGUGAAAUCCCCAAGCUUAACUUGGGAACUGCGUCGGAUACUGGAUGGCUUGAAUUCGGGAGAGGGAUGCAGAAUUCCAGGUGUAGCGGUGAAAUGCGUAGAUAUCUGGAGGAAUACCGGUGGCGAAGGCGGCAUCCUGGACCGACAUUGACGCUGAGGAGCGAAAGCUAGGGGAGCAAACG